AGGAUCAGGAGUCCGUGGAUGCUGGAGGGAUGCUGCUGCUCCCUUACAGGUGCUGCCUUUAGGACAGUCUGAGAGGAGACUCUGUGCAGCUGUGAGGCUCCUUGGGAGGAAAGAUGAGCUCUUCUAGCUGCCUUGCUGUUUCAAUGACUGUGGUCUGCAUGGUCCUGCAAAGAUGCUCCAUGUUUCAGACAUUUCUCAUGGCCCAGAAAGAAGAAACUGAAAAUAGUUUGGGGGAAUUCUGAAUUCUCCAAAUCCCAAGGAUGCCCUAGGACUUGAACCCACUGGACCAGCUGUCCUUCUCUUGUUGAGUUUGUCCAUGCUGUUCUCCAGCCAACUGAAAUGCUUUAAGGCUGGAAGGACAUAAUCUGCAAAGGUCUAGCCAGCACAGCAAGGAAACAAGGUGUUGUGAAGUGCAGCUUGUGAAACUUGCACAUUGUGAGCAGGAGCAGAGCCCCUGGAGCAAGGAAGAGACCUGAUCCAAGGCAGGGGAAACUCCUUGUUCUCUUGUCACUGUAAUGCUGAUCUGUCAGUCUCUGCUGGUAAAAUCACAGGGCUUCUUGUCAUUAACAAGAAGCUGAGGGUGACUGGAACAGCCUCAGCUCCUGAAGUAAGGCUGAUGAGUGUGCAGAGCAAUGUCCUCUUUUUGCCUUCUGCCUCGGAUUACGUGGGUGUGCUGCACUCCAGGCAGGAUUGCUGAAUAUUACAUAUUGAACUAUACUGCCUUCAGAGAAAUAGCACCUCACUGAAAGCAUUCCCAAAGGUCACUGAUUGCAGUAUGAGCUCUGACUGGAUGUGUUAGAUAAAGAUUGAGCAGAGCUGUCAAGGACAAUUUUCAUUCCUGUCCUACUCCAGGAAAUUUAGACAUGCCAUUGGAAAUCUCACAGCCUGGAAAAUUAGGGACACAAGAGGCUUUUUCCCACAGAGAAGAGAAUCUUAUUUUUUUCACUCAAAAACCAAAAUGCUGUCAAUGAUAUUCUAAUAAGUGGUCAUUUUUUCUCUCAGCAAAAUUCCAGUUUUUCAUCAGAAAUAUUUUUCUGGAAUUGUUUUUAUUGAUACUCUCCACAUGCAGGGCAGAGACUUAUAGAAAAUCAGCUGAAGCUUCUAUGCUAUUCAGUUUGCCCUCCCCUGUUUGGCUCAUUUCCCCACCUUACACCAUAACAUAGCUGGCUAUCCUUGGACCUUGAGAGGUUGUGUUUCUUGCCACAGGUCAUCAGGGGUUGGUUACACCAAUGCAUGGCUCUUCUGUUUGGUCAGAUUGAUGGCUUCAGUCUGAAAUGUUACUUUUCCUACUUCACCUGGAAGUAGCAGAAUCUUUUGUUGUUGUAAUGGUCAGCCAUGGUAAAAACAUGAACAACAUAAUGUUUCUUUGGAUGACUGAUGGUAAUUUGAGUUGGUUCUUUCUGCUGUCUUUAAUACACAGCAGGUAUAAUAAUUAGGGAAAGUGCCUUUUCCCAGUCCUAGCAGGCUUUCCUCCAAGGCAUGACAAGUACUGUGUUUGCACACACUGAAAGGAUCACACAGCUGCAGUAGAUCUUUCUUGUUUGUUCUUCUUUGAGGUCAUGGCACAGCUUGCAGAGCAAGGAGGCGUGUGACUGGAACAUUCAGAAUAACUCAUCUCACUACAUCUCCCAGAUGGAUUUCCUAGUUCUGGGCAUGUCCUGCUCAGCUCUUCCCAUUGCUUGUGCUUGACCCCAGCCUCUUGUGUUACAAAAUCUUAGGCACUCAAAGUACAUUGCACUUUAUAUCACUGUGUCUCCUGUUAUUUCAGGGAAUCUGUCUUUUUGUGGCAAGCACCAGCAAGGAGAAAAUUGGCAAGAAACUAUGUCCUUGUGUGCUCAGGGAUGGCAUAAUGAUAGAUCUCCUGCAGCUCAGAGGAUUUUGCUAUUUAUUUAGUAAGUUUCUGCACUUUUAGCAUAAAUUUUCAUGGUACUUAUGAACGGAGAAAUAUUUCAUUGAAUGAGAGAAUCAGCUUCAAGAAAGUAUUCAGAAUGAAAGUAAUAAAAAGAAGUAGCCAACUGGGAUCUCAGUCAAUUUCUGAAGUCUCUUCACGUUCAUUUUCCAGCAAUUCAUUCAUCCUACUCCACUUUCCACAAGAUUGUUCAAAUUUAAAAGUGAUCAUUCAAAGGCAAAGAGAAGAUCCUUGGCACUAGAAAGGCUACUGUGCCCAAGGUACCCUGCAACUCCAGUGUACAUAUCAGCAUUAUCUCAUUAUCAUACAUAUCAGCAUUAUUGCAUCCCCAUAACCAGGUUUUCUCUUCAGAUUUGUUAAUGGAACCUUACAAAUCAAAUACACAUGACUUCAGGGUCCAGCUCAUACCUGGUAGAUAUCCCAGUAGUACAUUACAGCAAUAUUUCCAUCCCUGGAGCAGAGCUUCAGUCACCCAAGCACAGAUGUUGUGUGCAUGACUUCAGCUGCCACCCCCAGGACGUGAGGAUCUCAUGCAGAUCCCUCACUGUAUCUGCCAACCACACAGGAAUUUCUCUCUCUGUCUUUAGAAAUCUUCUCUGUAAUGGCUUUUCUCCCUCUAAGGUUGCUGCUGAAAUAGCUGAAAUGGUCUCUCUGAUCAGAGCACAUCUAUGUUGUGUCCUUACCGGUGUAUCUUCUCCUUGACUAUGGACACAUAUGAAAAAGUUUUGCUCCAUAGAAGUAUGGGUCUUCUUUUCAAAGGCAGAAACUGCUUAAUGUCUGUAUAAUUCAUCUGAUUGCUUUGCUCCUAUUUUGUAUGCUAGUUGAAAUACACAUUUCUGCUCUAAUGCUUCUUCCUAGCCCCUAUGUGCACUUUGCCUUCUUUCCUUUUCUGUCUUUUCCAGCAGUUUCUUCUCCAGGUUUAUGUCCCUGAGUCUCAUUCCACUCAGGACACGAUUUCACAGACCCUCUGGAAGUGUUUAAGUUUGAUUUAACACAGACAAUGCUAUUGCUUAUCUUUUUGCUGGUAUCUUUUAGGAGCUUUAUUCUUUCAAAUAAAAUAAUUUGUAUUAAGAAGUUAGCCUAGAAAUAAGACCUUAGCCCUAUAACAAUCAUGUUCUUGUCAGCUAUUCAACAAACCCAGUGUCACCUAACAAGCAAUGUUAAAAAAUACUCCUCUGUUGUAAAAAAUGGAAAGCAGGAGCUUUCUUGGAAAAUUGUAUGAUUUGUGAUUUCUUACACCCUAAAAAGAAAAAAAAAAAGUAUUAGAAAGACAUUGCCUGAAAUAAAUAAAUUAAAUUAAUAACAAUUUUCCUGAUGCUCUU
Molecule: long non-coding RNA, 3231 nt
Organism: Haemorhous mexicanus (house finch)
Lineage: Eukaryota; Metazoa; Chordata; Aves; Passeriformes; Fringillidae
Exons: 4
Source: RefSeq, a predicted model, not a curated record